CCGCCGCCGCCGCCGCGCCACCGGUGUCAACCUCCUUCGGGAGACUCCAUUUGCUCUCAGCACGAGCUGGCCGCCGUGCAGGCAGGCGGAGAGCGAUGCCCGCAGUCGGCGAACUGGCGUCGUCUGCGCCAAGCGGCUGCUCACCGGCUGGCUGGCCGCGGCGGUGACACCCUGGUCGCCCGCGUCCAGGCAGAAUCCGGGCUCCCUCCGCGGGAGGAAAGACGUCCCGCGCUCCGGAGCUCGCGCGGCGGCGGGGAGAGGCCCUGGCUAACAAGGCUUCCCUCUGACCUCUUAAUUUCAGGAGGUAGGCUAUUGAGGUCCCUCUCGGUCAACCCAGAUAAUGCCUAAAAGCAUUAUUUGUCGCAUUUAGCUCUCACGUUGAUAGGAGGUGUUAAUUUUCUCAACAUAGUUGCAGGGUAGGUGUGGGUAAUGCCACAGACCCCGAUACUGAAAAGAGAAAUGUUUUUUGGUAUUUUCCUUUAGGUUUCAGAGGCUGCGAGUACCUAUACAGCCCUCACAGGAACUUCUGUUGGCCCAUGGAGGAUCAUCUCUCACCAGGACUAUUGUAACAUCUUCACCGAGCUUUCCACCCCACUGCCUCUACCUUGGGUCCUGAUUUCUACCCAUGAAGUUUUUUUGAUGCUUUCUUUAAUCACGUGGCAUUACCUCUUGCCCACCUUUCCCCUUUCCAAUAGCAAAUUACAUUAGGUGAGAAUACUGAAAUAACAACAGGAGCUGCUCUAACCUAAGUGAAUGAACUAAUGAAAUACUCCCAAGUUCAUGCUGCUAAGUCAGGACUGGUGAUGCUACAUGAGAAACAGUGAUAGGAGAUGGAAACUUAUGUCAGUUCUGCCUUUGAACUUGAGGUAUGGAGUCUUGCAGAAGUUACAACCCUUCAUGAUGGAGUCAGACCCAGGAAUCAGAGUCAGAAGAAGGACCCAGAGGUGGGCAGAGCAGGCCUGGGUGCUGCCUCACACCAUCCAGGGCCACUUUCCCUGGACUCAGAAAGUUUGCUUCUGAGAAGUGCUUCUCAAAGCUGGUGGCCUCAGAGGCCGCACUCAGUGCGAAAUCUCUGGCCUGCAGAUCUGCUCAGGAUGUUCUGCGUGUUUCCAUAGCCUGGAUUGUUAAAUCUUUUCAGGAUCCCUUGGAGCCCUAAAGCCGGCUCCCUGCAGAAACAUGUGAUGAAGACUUGAUGAAUGCUGUGUCUGGUACACUGCCAUGUACGCAGGCUGUUUUGUGACAAAUACGAAUGGUCAAGUUCAUUGUAUAUAGUAGAGCAAAAUUCUACCUGUACUUGUACACACGAAUAUGACUGUCUUUAAAAACAGUUAUCCAGCAUUGUUCCCAUAGUGAAUACCUACAGGAGAGAUUUGCAAAUUGCCUGUGUUAUUAAUUCUCCCCACAAGUUGGCAGGAUGACUGGAUGAUAAUUAGGCCUCUCCUAAAUAAUUGGCCAAGUAGAACAUCAGAAGUAUGGAAGAUAAGAAGUUUCUGCUCUCUCCAUGUAAGUAAGAAGUAUUAUGAAAUUCUGUAGCAUUUUAGUCAGCUAGAGAGGCCUCAUUGAGCAAAUUCCUCUCCACUACCUCAGGGCCUUCAGCUCCAGGGUAUGAAUAAAAGAAGAAAGAAAAUUUCCACAGCUUAUUGGGAAACACAGGGAAGUCUGAGAAUAGAGAGUGACUGUUCCUGCCAGAAGGUCCCUGUUUUCAAGGAGAGAGUGAAUGCUAUUGUCAUGAUACCAGGGUGACUUGAUAACGAGGCAUUGUUUCUGUGGGUCUGUAGUCCUGGCACGAACCCAGGGGCAAUGUGGAAAGUGGGGAGACCACUUACUUGGGUGUGCUAGAAAAUAAUCUUCUAGUUAUAUUAGUCUCAGAUGCUUUAGCAGCCAAUGCAGUAAAGACAGGACAUUCCGAGAUGAGGUGGAGCAAGCUGCAUCUUAGAGAGGGCAAGUGAAGAGAAGCGGACCACACAGAGAUCAGACACCUCCAGUCCCGUUUCAAGACAGUAGGCAAGCAUCCAUCUAGAUCCAGACUCCUUCCUGAGGAGAAUGAGGGAAAGGGAGACUCACAGGAAUGCUGUCCUGAUAUGAAAUUUGAAUGGACUAAUUGAAUUCUCUGGAGGCUACGAGGAGUUAAAACAGGAAGUGACCAACAUUGCCUUUAAUUGGCAAAUGUUAAUGAGUCGCAUUUUCUGCAUCCUCUCCCAAUGUCCAAGCAUGUGCAAUGCAAACUGAGCUUAGUAAUAGACAAGAGAAAUUUAUUUCCUUAUGAGUUGUGAUGAAAAGAAAUAAAGUUGCUCUGUGUUCAAAAUAUAAGCCAUUUCCUACCAACUGUUUAGUUUGCUGUAUACCCUGAACCAUUAACUCAUUCUCUCUGAUAUCUACUUUGUAUAAUGUUGACAGAGAUUCUGGUAAGAAG
Molecule: long non-coding RNA, 2413 nt
Organism: Ictidomys tridecemlineatus (thirteen-lined ground squirrel)
Lineage: Eukaryota; Metazoa; Chordata; Mammalia; Rodentia; Sciuridae
Source: Ensembl